Long non-coding RNA from Paramacrobiotus metropolitanus, 1955 nucleotides. RefSeq lists it as uncharacterized. The record is from RefSeq and is a predicted model, not a curated record. The transcript has 6 exons. NCBI's taxonomy places the organism in Eukaryota, Metazoa, Tardigrada, Eutardigrada, Parachela, Macrobiotidae.
AUAACGCUCGAAUAGGAUAUCGAAGAAAGUACGGGGAGUGAGCACAGAAUUCUUCACCGCUUGUUCCAGUAUAUCAUGCGUUUCGCGGAACGUCGUUCUCAAUGCAGUUAUUCCGCGUCUUGAAGAAGCAGCGGCAUCUUUAUCGGGCUCCAGUGGAUCCAAGGUGCAUCGUAGAAAUGGAUUAUACAAGCCGGUUAAGGUGCUUCCGAAGUGUUCCACUCCAACGACGGGGAAUUCUGAAGUAAUAAUAAUCGUGAUUCGCUGGAUGGCAUCGUGUCGCCUGGAGACUCCUUCCUUCGGCGUGAAGAGCGGCAUAAAAAGUUCUAUUUCUUCGUGCAGACCCAUCAUGCCGGCACUGUGCCAUAGAAAUGAUAGAAUCGAUGCAGUACAGCCAGUAUUAUUAUUGACUUGGUCUUCGUUGCCUGAUUGUUAAUGAUAUGAGUACAAACUUAGCUUAAGUAAUGUACUUCAUAACUAAGUAGUUUUGCUAAUAUCGAUGAGCUCACAGCGACAUGCGACAGGUUAAUGCUAUCGUUGGUACUGAUAGUAGGAAUGGGCACACAAGUUUGAUAUUUUCCCAUGCUGCAUUUAUACCUUGCCAGAACGAGAUCAGCCUGCAGAUAGCUUCUGUUGGAAUUUCGGAUGAUUAGAUAUUGAAACAUAACCAAAGAAUCUAUUUGCCCAGCAGUUAUAUACAAGUACUCCGGCUAAAGGUCGGGAAGGUUUUUUCUGAUUGACUGCUACAAAAACGGAUGGUACUGUGGGUGCAGUUUUGUUUUAUAAUAAUUUUAUUAUAGUUGUGCUCCCGCUAUUCUAGGCUUCCUGGUACUGGCUUUGAUCACGAAAAAAUGGUUUGGCUGUCGCAAGCAGCAGUUGUUAAAUCUUUGAGCUUGUCGUUGCCCUGUUCAAAAACAGAAAUACAAAUUCUCAUUAAGACGUAAUAGAACGAUACAGAAAAUACUUUUUAUGUAAAUAAGCUAAUUUUAAUGCACUGUUGCAAGUUACAGUGCAGCAAUUGCAGCGUUGUUACGCGUACGACAGAUCACCAAGCAUGCAGAAGCAAAUGCUACAUUAUAUGUACCGAUGGACAAGGACAAAACAACAUUGACGAACUUGCUCAGCCAUGCAGAGCGUGACCUGGGAUGAUUUUGGGAUGAUAAGCAAGAAACCAUACCUGACGAAAGACCACGUGUAUAAAAAGCCUGAACAUGGCGAACACGACGCACUGGCACCUUAACAAAUAAAGCUCUAGUCCACCGAAGAGAAUGAAGAGAGACGACAGCAGCCGCGGUUGGUCAUUUUUAAGAGUGAAAUGGACCAUUUCGUUGACAGCUCCUAUCCGCACUCGGAACGUGCGUCACAGUCACACCAACUGGGUUGGCAAGUUAACCUGAACCCAAUGACGUCUGACAGCCAAAAAGCGAAGUCUUAUGGCUGAUCCUGAGACUGUAUGGAAAGUCAACGAAGUGUUAUUCCAGCAAUUCUUCCGCUCGCAUCGUUUCCACGUGCUUUUCCACGUUCCACGUGCGUUCAUGCUUUUCCACGUGGUGAUGUGCCUAGCUACCGACCGCGAAUCAAAUGUGACCCCGGCCGCUUUAUCGAACUCUUUCCACAACCGGAACUUCGUUAUCCACCCAUUUCACAAAAGUUAAACGGAUGACAUAUCGGCUAAACGCCCGAAGGGAAGCCUGUGCCUCGAGAAAAAUUGCCAGACGUUAAGGAAAAAUAUUUGAAAACGCCAGGAAAAGAUGCAAAAGAUUUGAAACCACAAGCAAAGAUCAGAAUAAACCGAAAAAAUCUGCCCGCACCUGCUAAUUACUACUUACUUAAUGCUUGAAAAUACGAGUGUUUCCUCUUUUUAAACGUGCAGUUUAGAGAUACACAAUGCAACAGCUUCAACUGUAAUAAUUCGAGAAAAAUCGUCAAUAUUUCCGUAGAAAACUGCAAACAAGAUG